Molecule: ribosomal RNA, 216 nt
Filed under: uncultured Propionicimonas sp.
Lineage: Bacteria; Bacillati; Actinomycetota; Actinomycetes; Propionibacteriales; Nocardioidaceae
Description: partial 16S ribosomal RNA
Rfam family: Bacterial small subunit ribosomal RNA
Source: RNAcentral
UGCAACGCGAAGAACCUUACCUGGGUUUGACAUAUACCGGAAACAUCUGGAGACAGGUGCCCCGCAAGGUCGGUAUACAGGUGGUGCAUGGCUGUCGUCAGCUCGUGUCGUGAGAUGUUGGGUUAAGUCCCGCAACGAGCGCAACCCUCGUUCUAUGUUGCCAGCGGUUCGGCCGGGAACUCAUAAAAAACUGCCGGGGUCAACUCGGAAGAAGAA